GUGGUUCCAACAUGCCGGAGCUGAUGGUGGAGGUUCGCAGCUCCAACGGGGCUUUCUACAAGGGAUUUACCAAAAAUGUUCAUGAAGACUCCCUUACAGUUGCUUUUGAAAAUAAUUGGCAACCAGAAUGCCAGUUUCCAUUUAAUGAGGUUAGAUUACCUCCACCACCUGAUAUAAAAAAAUAAAUUAGUGAAGGAGAUGAAGUAGAGGUAUAUUCAAGAGCAAAUGACCAAGAGCCAUGUGGAUGGUGGGUGGCUAAAGUUUGGAUGAUGAAAGGAGAAUUUUAUGUCAUUGAAUAUACUGCUUGUGACGCUACUUACAAUGAAAUAGUCACAUUUGAACAACUUUGGCCUGUCAAUAAAAAUAAAACCGUCAAAAAAAAUACCUUCUUUAAAUGCACAGUGGAUUUUCCUGAGGAUCUGAGAGAGGCGUGUGCUAAUGAAAAUGCACAUAAAGAUUUUAAGAAAGCAGUAGGAGCAUGCAGAAUUUUUUACCAUCCAGAAUCAACACAGCUAAUGAUACUGUCUGCCAGUGAAGCAACUGUGAAGAAAGUAAACAUCUUAAGUGACAUGCAUUUGUGAAGUAUUUGUAUGAAGCUGAUGCUUAUGACCAGAAAUGAAGAGAUCACUAAGCAUUCAGAAUGCACAAAACAACUUGCAGCGGCUUUUCAGGAGGAAUUUGUUGUGAGAGAAAAUUUAAUGGGUGUGGCAAUAGGAACACAUGGUAGUAACAUUCAGCAAGCUAGGAAGGUUCCUGGAGUCACCGCAUUGAGCUAGAUGAAGACACUGGAACAUUUAGAAUCUACAGAGAGAGUGUUGAUGCUGUAAAAAAGGCUAGAGGUUUCUUGGAAUUUGUGGAGGAUUUUAUUCAGGUUUCUAAGAAUCUCACGGGAAAAGUAAUUGGAAAAAAUGGCAAAGUUAUCCAAGAAACAGUGGACAAAUCUGAUAUGGUUCGGGUGAUAAUUGAAGGUGACAGUGAAAAUAAACUACCCAGAGAAGAUGGUAUGAUUCCAUUUGUGUUUGUUGGCACUAAAGAAACCACUGGAAAUGUGCAAGUUCUUUUAGAGUACCAUAUUGCUUAUCUAAAGGAAGUAGAACAGCUAAGAAUAGAAUGCCUACAGAUUGAUGAGCAGCCAUAACAGAUUGGUUCUAGGUCUUAUAGUGGAAGAGGCAGAGGUUGUCAGGGCCCUAAUUACACCUCCGGUUAUGGUACAAAUUCUGAGCUGUCUAACCCCUCUGAAAUAGAAUCUGAGGAUAAAGACAAGCUGAGUGAUUGGUCAUUGAAGAAGAUGAUCAAUGCAGACAUCAGCAUGACAGCAGGAGAUGCCCAGGAGGAAGAUGCAGAAGUGUUUCAGGGGGUCGAGGUCGUGGUGGACCACGUGGUGGCAAAUCCUCCAUCAGUUCUGUGCCCAAAGAUCCUGAGAGCAAUCCAUACACCUUACUUGAUAAUACAGAAUCAGAUCAGACUGCAGACACUGAUGCCAGCAAAUCUCAUCACAGUACUAAUCGUCAUACGUGGUCUCGUAGACGAAGGACUGAUGAAGAUGCUGUUCUGAUGGAUGGAAUGACUGAUACAGCUUCAGUUACUGAAAAUGGGCUAGGCAAAACAUGGAAGGCAAUAAAUAGCCCGACUAGUGCUUCUGGCAAUGACAUUUCUAAGUUACAGCAUACUCCAGGAGAAGAAAAGAUUAAUACCUUAAAAGAAGAAAACAGUCAAGAAACAGCAGUCCUGAAUGGUGUUUCAUAAACUGAAGAAGUUCCUAGUUUACAGUUCUUUUACAUUACAUUUACAACAGUGCUUGUACAAGCUUGCCAAAGAUAGAAUAUGGAUCGCCAGUCUUUACAUCGCACUUUCAGUUCUACCAUUUGGAAUUCAAAAAGGGGAGGGAUCCUGAAUAAAUCACGUGUUAAACAUACUUUGACACCUACUGCGUCAUAAAUCAUCAGAUGUUCCUUGAGAAUAGUAUAUGUAACAUUAAAAAAAAGUUGCUGGCUAUAAGAAAUAUUAUUUUCUUUUCAAAAUAUGGCAGAUGGGGGGUGGUGGGUGAGGUGGGAUCCCUAACAUAAUAUUCUUUAUGAAAGUAUUGGCUGCUUUUGUUACAUUUUUAAUAUGCAACCACUUCUUCAUCUGAGGAAAACUAGAAUAAAAUGCAGUCUAAAAUAUUUUGCACUGAACUGUAAUUUCUCCAUUGGUUUAGUUUGGAAACUGGUCUGUUUUAAUGUGUUUUUUAAAUGCUGUAUAUAGAGAAAAAUCUGCAGACCACUGGAAUACAUUUGUUAAACUCUCAUCUGCAGGGACACUGGGUGAUAUUUGGCAGUGACUGUUCCACAUUGAGGCUUUGGUUUAUUUAUUAAAGUGUACAGUAUUUAAAAAUCAAACAUAGCUUUAGUUAAAACACUAAGCUGAAUUAGUCAUGUCCAUUCAGACAUAACCGGAACUACUGAAAAUAUUAAUUUCCAGAAGGUUUAUUCUAUAUAAACUACAUGUUUCAGUAGAGUAUCUUUUUUUCUUUUUUUUUUUAAUUUCGGUUGUUUGAUGUGCAAUAUGUUUUUGUAUGCAAAUAGUAAAUAAACAUUGAUCUCCCAAAAAAAAAGUGAUAACACAGUGUAUUGGCCAGGCACAGUG
This is an RNA transcript of Nomascus leucogenys (northern white-cheeked gibbon), 2625 nucleotides long. It is a transcript of the gene named fragile X mental retardation syndrome-related protein 1 pseudogene, with no coding region annotated. NCBI's taxonomy places the organism in Eukaryota, Metazoa, Chordata, Mammalia, Primates, Hylobatidae. The transcript has a single exon. The record is from RefSeq and is a predicted model, not a curated record.